GACGAACGCUGGCGGCGUGCUUAACACAUGCCAGUCGAACGGAAAGGCCCUGCUUUUGUGGGGUGCUCGAGUGGCGAACGGGUGAGUAACACGUGAGUAACCUGCCCUUGACUUUGGGAUAACUUCAGGAAACUGGGGCUAAUACCGGAUAGGAGCUCCUGCUGCAUGGUGGGGGUUGGAAAGUUUCGGCGGUUGGGGAUGGACUCGCGGCUUAUCAGCUUGUUGGUGGGGUAGUGGCUUACCAAGGCUUUGACGGGUAGCCGGCCUGAGAGGGUGACCGGCCACAUUGGGACUGAGAUACGGCCCAGACUCCAACGGGAGGCAGCAGUGGGGAAUAUUGCAAAAUGGGCGGAAGCCUGAUGCAGCAACGCCGCGUGCGGGAUGACGGCCUUCGGGUUGUAAACCGCUUUCGCCUGUGACGAAGCGUGAGUGACGGUAAUGGGUAAAGAAGCACCGGCUAACUACGUG
Molecule: ribosomal RNA, 468 nt
Filed under: uncultured bacterium
Lineage: Bacteria
Description: partial 16S ribosomal RNA
Rfam family: Bacterial small subunit ribosomal RNA
Source: RNAcentral